AUAUGAUUUAUCAGAAAAUUUUCCCAAAUCACAUGGUUUAUGCCUUUGAGUUCUUGAUUACAAAAUGUCGAGGUAAAGAUCAUAACUCUUGAGAGAAUUAUAAGAAGGAUUCAAAACUCACCUUUGCUGAUUUGAAUAGUUCAUCGAGAAC
Long non-coding RNA from Hibiscus syriacus, 151 nucleotides. RefSeq lists it as uncharacterized. The transcript is spliced from 3 exons. Lineage: Eukaryota; Viridiplantae; Streptophyta; Magnoliopsida; Malvales; Malvaceae. The record is from RefSeq and is a predicted model, not a curated record.